This 450-nucleotide ribosomal RNA is filed under the name Triticum aestivum (bread wheat). RNAcentral's name for it is "partial small subunit ribosomal RNA". Lineage: Eukaryota; Viridiplantae; Streptophyta; Magnoliopsida; Poales; Poaceae. The record is from RNAcentral.
AUGGACACCACUUCACACUUGUGGAAGUUGAUUUUAAGCCCCGACAUGAGUUCAAAACACAACAGAAUGGCCUUGACCGUUGCGAUACUGUGUGUGUCGGGCUCGAAAAGGAGGAGUGUGUCAUCCGCGUAUUGCAGGUGUGACACUCCCCCCGGGAUCAGGUUGUCCACCACUCCCCUGAUGUGGCCAGCCAAACGAGCUCUGUCGAGGCUACGGCGAGGCUGGGUCCCCCUGACGCAGCCCACGCUUGUUGCGGAAAAAGUUCCCGACUUCUCCGUUCACCGCAAUCGCCGUUUGACCCCCCGAGACCAACUGCAUCAUGCGAUGAACCCAAACCGACGAGAAUCCCCGGUCCAGGAGGACCUGACGGAGAAACUCCCAGUUCACGCGAUCGUACGCCUUCUCAAAAUCAAGUUUCAGGAGAAUCGCGGGCUGGCGAGCGCGUUUUAG